CAAGUCCCAGUUCGGAUUGCGGUCUGCAACUCGACCGCAUGAAGUCGGAAUCGCUAGUAAUCGCGAAUCAGAAUGUCGCGGUGAAUACGUUCCCGGGUCUUGUACACACCGCCCGUCACACCAUGGGAGUUGGAAGCGCCCGAAGUCUGUGACCUAACCGAAAGGGAGGAGCAGCCGAAGGUGAAGCCAGUGACUGGGGUGAAGUCGUAACAAGGUAUC
RNAcentral lists this ribosomal RNA (219 nucleotides) under uncultured bacterium. RNAcentral describes it as "partial 16S ribosomal RNA". It matches the Rfam family "Bacterial small subunit ribosomal RNA", at positions 1282 to 1500 of the family's 1533-position model. The record is from RNAcentral.